GAUGAAGAACGUAGCGAAAUGAGAUAAGUAAUGUGAAUUGCAGAAUUCAGUGAAUCAUCGAAUCUUUGAACGCACAUUGCGCCCGCCAGUAUUCUGGCGGGCAUGCCUGUCCGAGCGUCAUUUCAACCAUCAAGCCCCGGGCUUGUGUUGGGGACCUGCGUCCGACGCAGGCCCUGAAAACCAGUGGCGGGCUCGCUGUCCACACCGAGCGUAGUAACUAACCUCGCUAUGGAGUGGCGCGGGCGCCUGCCGUAAAACCCCCAAUUUUUACAAGGUUGACCUCGGAUCAGGCAGGAAUACCCGCUGAACUUAAGCAUAUCAAUAAGCGGAGGA
Molecule: unclassified non-coding RNA, 333 nt
Filed under: soil metagenome
Description: partial contains 5.8S ribosomal RNA, internal transcribed spacer 2, and large subunit ribosomal RNA
Rfam family: 5.8S ribosomal RNA (bases 1-120)
Source: RNAcentral